CAGCAGCCGCGGGAAUACGUAGGGUGCGAGCGUUAAUCGGAAUUACUGGGCGUAAAGGGCGCGUAGGCGGCGGCCAAAGUCAGGCGUGAAAUCCCCGGGCUUAACCUGGGAACUGCAUUUGUGACUGGCGAGCUAGAGUAUGGCAGAGGGGGGUAGAAUUCCACGUGUAGCAGUGAAAUGCGUAGAGAUGUGGAGGAAUACCGAUGGCGAAGGCAGCCCCCUGGGCCAAUACUGACGCUCAUGCACGAAAGCGUGGGGAGCAAACAGGAUUAGAUACCCGUGUAGUCCCUGUCUCUUAUAA
Molecule: ribosomal RNA, 301 nt
Filed under: uncultured bacterium
Lineage: Bacteria
Description: partial 16S ribosomal RNA
Rfam family: Bacterial small subunit ribosomal RNA
Source: RNAcentral